RNAcentral lists this transfer RNA (70 nucleotides) under Marmota monax (woodchuck). Its description in RNAcentral is "tRNA.Ala". It matches the Rfam family "tRNA". From Rfam's summary of the family: Transfer RNA (tRNA) molecules are approximately 80 nucleotides in length. Their secondary structure includes four short double-helical elements and three loops (D, anti-codon, and T loops). Further hydrogen bonds mediate the characteristic L-shaped molecular structure. tRNAs have two regions of fundamental functional importance: the anti-codon, which is responsible for specific mRNA codon recognition, and the 3' end, to which the tRNAs corresponding amino acid is attached (by aminoacyl-tRNA synthetases). tRNAs cope with the degeneracy of the genetic code in two manners: having more than one tRNA (with a specific anti-codon) for a particular amino acid; and 'wobble' base-pairing, i.e. permitting non-standard base-pairing at the 3rd anti-codon position. The record is from RNAcentral. Lineage: Eukaryota; Metazoa; Chordata; Mammalia; Rodentia; Sciuridae.
GGGUUGCGGCUCAGCGGUAAAGCACUUGCCUCGCAUGUAUAAGGCCCUGGGUUCAAUCCCCAGCAACACA